Molecule: long non-coding RNA, 1066 nt
Filed under: Marmota monax (woodchuck)
Lineage: Eukaryota; Metazoa; Chordata; Mammalia; Rodentia; Sciuridae
Source: RNAcentral
UUUGUUGGUAUGUGGUGCUGAGGAUCGAACCCGGGCCACACGCAUUCCAGGCGAGCGCACUACCGCUUGAGCCACAUCCCCAGCCCCGAAAAGAACUAUUUCUAAACAUUGACUUAUUUAGAAUUAUUCUUCAAAGAAUAAUUACUUUUUUAGUACAAUACCUGUCUAUCUUGAGAUUUCAAAAAGGAAAGACAAAGUUGAAUAUAUGAUGCAUGCCAGGUACUGUACAAUUUUAUAUAAUUAUUUCAUUUAAAAGUGUAAGAGUCUGUACAUAGUGGCUCAUGCCUGGAAUCUCACCUACUUGGGAUACUGAGGUAGGAGUAUCUCAAAUUUAAGAUCAGCCUGGGCAACUUAGUGAAAUCCAUCCCAAAAUAAAAUAAAAAAGGGCUGGGGGUAUAGCUCUGUGGGAGAGUACUCAUGCAUGAUGCCCUCAGUUCAAAGUUCUGGGAUGCCUGAAAUGUUUCAUAUCUGUUGUGGGUGGCAAUUACUUACAUACAAAUUUAUUGAGACAUAUACUUAAGAUUUGUGCAUUUUCUAUGUUAUAUCUGCAUUAAAAAAAAACAAAAACAAACUUUGUAGUUGUUGAUGGACAGCAUGCCUUUAUUGUAUGUGGUACUGAGGAUGGAACCCAGUGCCUCAGACAUGCAAGGCAAGUGCUCUACCACUGAGCUACAGCCCCAGCCCUGUACCUGCAUUUAAAAAUGUAAAAUAAGACUUCACUGAGAUUUAUUCCUGAUUUAUAGUUCUUCAGGUCAUUCCUCUAACUCUUUUCAUUUACCUCUGUUCAUUUAGUCAGUUUGCUAGGAGGUUUCAUUCUAUAUUCUCCUAUUACAAAAAUGUAGGUGAAGGGAAAACAACUAGAAGUGCAAAAGGUUUUUACAAAGAAGUCUCAUGGAAAAUUAAUUGUUAAUAAGAAACUAUACUUUCCCUAUCCAUUCUGCAACUAAUACCAGUUUUCUGAUUGAUUUCCUCAUAGUACUGACAUUCUGUUUUAUGCUUCUUCGCAUUUCUUUUUAUUUUAUUUUUUCUUGGUAAACAGGGAUUGAACCCAGGGGUACUUAACCAC